Molecule: long non-coding RNA, 2274 nt
Organism: Chelonia mydas (Green sea turtle)
Lineage: Eukaryota; Metazoa; Chordata; Testudines; Cheloniidae
Exons: 5
Source: RefSeq, a predicted model, not a curated record
CUCACGUCCUCUUGGUUUUAAGUCUUUGGAAAAUUCUUCUCCGUCGGGCAGACAAGAUCCUUCCUACAGACAGCAUUGCUGGCCAUCCACGACCCCCUGCUGCGUGUCAGCCAGGCUGGGCUGGUGCUCGUCUACUCCCUCCUGGGGGAAGCCCAGCAACUGAUGGGGGUCACGCACGAGGAUGUCACAGCCAAGGUCAUGGGCCAGCUUCACAUCAUCAGGCACUUGCACCAGAUGCCCGAGGCGCUGCAAGGGCUGUGGCUCGUCUGAUGCUCUUCAAGGUUCCCCUCCCUGUUCAGCAAGUCCCGCUCCCUGCUGCAGCUCCACUUCCCGCAGCAGGACAAACGGACCUUCAGCUCCUAGAGAACAGACUCUGACCUCCUUCUGAUCAGCAAUGGGGUUUCACCAUCCCCUCAGCAAACCUGUCAGCCGGGCUGGACCAGAUUUGAAGGAGGAGGGUAUCUAAGAGGGUGGCCUGGCCUAUUGCUGCCUAGCCUGGGGCUAGGCCAAAUUGAUGAUUAAGUGAGCCCCACCUGAGAGGAAACAAGGGGAAACAGCAGCAAAAGUCCAGAAGCAGAGUGAGCUGUUCAGUAGAUGGCCUUGGGCCAAACCCUGGAGUCCAGGGUAGGACUGGCUUCUCUCACCGUCCCUAAGGAAGGGGACAUAGAAGACCAUAGAAACCCAAGAAAGGCAGCCCGAACCGAAAUCAGGCUGAGGCAAAACUCCCCACGAGGGUGGUAGGGCUUGUUUCUGUUCAAGACAUUUUUGGACUUUGUUUGCAAGGAGCACGACCCAGGAAGGAGUGGAGUAAAGGCCAGUCACCUGGUUGGAGGGCUGAGUUCCCAGCCAAGAAACUGCAAGAGGUAGAAAACUUCUCUGUCGAAUCCGCUGAUUUGAUUGCUUCGUCUUCUGGUUUCAGACCCUCUGUUCUCCUUCUGGGCUGCCUGGACCCUGACUGUAACAUCUCUCUGGCCCAGCCUCUUACACAAAUGUGUGCUGCAGCCAGCCCAGCGCAGGGAGCAGUGGGGACAGAUGAUCUCAUCCUGUCAGACCAAGCAACAGGGGUCCCAUUGAGGCUUAGAUGGAAGAUCCCAGGCAUCUCCUGGAGAGGAUGCGCCCGGGACCCUAGAGACUGUUUUGUGCAGGAGGUUUGAGCGGGGAGAGAUCACUCACUGUCAUGACCCCUGGGUCAUUAACCCGGGUCUGCAGGGUUCCUGGGAGUAGCCACCCUCCAGCACGCCACCUGGAAGCCUAGGAAAAACUGCUUAGCUAGGACUGACGAAGUCCAGACCCAGUUUGAGGCUCCUAUUGGCAGAGUCCCAGAGCAGCUAAUCCGCCCCCGGGACCUCCUUAAACCAGCAGCAGGAAGAACAAGCUGUCUGAACACCCGAGCUGCUCCCCGGCUCUGGACCGUGUGUUGGCUGUUCCUGCUCCCACUCCCCAGGCUUGAUUUCCUGGCAUCCGGACUCGGGGUGACUCAUCUGACUUGAGGUGCUGAACACAAUUUGGUCUUUUGCUUCUGCUCUUCCAGUGCCCUGACCCAGCUGACUCUCGACUCCUGUCUCGUGAGUGUGGACUCUGCCUCUGACCACUAGGUCUGUCCGCCCAUGACCUGGCCAUGACACUGACUUUUCUACAUUCCUCCAGUGCCCUUUUCUGCUCUCCAGCUCUGCUCUCCCAGCAAGACACACGGAUCCCUUGGCUCCCAGAGUCCUGCUUGCCUGCUAGUCAAGGGCUCAGGGGGAGAGCUUGUCUUGCCCCCUCCCCCACCACAGCUGCUUUUCUUAGGGGACUCUCCCUAGCGCAGAAGAGAAUCCGUCCUGGCAGCAGUUCAGGAAGUCACAGAAGGGAUGGUCUGCUCAGCUCCCUCUGCAAUGCCACUGCCUGAGACCAUUACGAGUGGGUGCCCAGUGACUGCGCCGGCAGCUCCUUGAGAGACUGCUGGGGGCAGGGUAGUCGUGUUUCACGGUGAGCGCGGGAAGCCAUGUGAAGAGUGCGGCAUUGAGGAGACUCUCCUGCUGUCCCAAAGGGUUUCUGUUCUCCUGCACGGUCAGACCGUGGGGCCGGCUGGCAGAAUGGGGAAGAGCUGGUUGGUGAUGAGUCGGGGGAAUCACAAUAGAGGUGGCAGCAGCUGCAGAUCCUGGAGUCCCUGUGGUCGGGUUACCAUGCGUCUGGAGUUUCCCGGACAUGUCCGGCUUUUUGGGUUUUAAAUCGCCCUCUGGGAGGAAUUUGUAAAACUCUCCAAAGGGCCGGGAUUUCCCUCCCAAUGCAGCA